This 468-nucleotide ribosomal RNA is filed under the name uncultured bacterium. Its description in RNAcentral is "partial 16S ribosomal RNA". It matches the Rfam family "Bacterial small subunit ribosomal RNA", at positions 28 to 507 of the family's 1533-position model. The record is from RNAcentral.
GACGAACGCUGGCGGCGUGCUUAACACAUGCAAGUCGAACGGAAAGGCCCUGCUUUUGUGGGGUGCUCGAGUGGCGAACGGGUGAGUAACACGUGAGUAACCUGCCCUUGACUUUGGGAUAACUUCAGGAAACUGGGGCUAAUACCGGAUAGGAGCUCCUGCUGCAUGGUGGGGGUUGGAAAGUUUCGGCGGUUGGGGAUGGACUCGCGGCUUAUCAGCUUGUUGGUGGGGUAGUGGCUUACCAAGGCUUUGACGGGUAGCCCGCCUGAGAGGGUGACCGGCCACAUUGGGACUGAGAUACGGCCCAGACUCCUACGGGAGGCAGCAGUGGGGAAUAUUGCACAAUGGGCGGAAGCCUGAUGCAACAACGCCGCGUGCGGGAUGACGGCCUUCGGGUUGUAAACCGCUUUCGCCUGUGACGAAGCGUGAGUGACGGUAAUGGGUAAAGAAGCACCGGCUAACUACGUG